UACGAAGGGGGCUAGCGUUGCUCGGAAUUACUGGGCGUAAAGGGUGCGUAGGCGGUUCGUUAAGUCCGUUGUGAAAUCCCCGGGCUCAACCUGGGAAUGGCAAUGGAUACUGGCGGGCUAGAGUGUGUCAGAGGAUGGUGGAAUUCCCGGUGUAGCGGUGAAAUGCGUAGAGAUCGGGAGGAACAUCAGUGGCGAAGGCGGCCAUCUGGGACAACACUGACGCUGAAGCACGAAAGCGUGGGGAGCAAACAGG
Molecule: ribosomal RNA, 253 nt
Filed under: uncultured bacterium
Lineage: Bacteria
Description: partial 16S ribosomal RNA
Rfam family: Bacterial small subunit ribosomal RNA
Source: RNAcentral